This 430-nucleotide ribosomal RNA is filed under the name uncultured bacterium. Its description in RNAcentral is "partial 16S ribosomal RNA". It matches the Rfam family "Bacterial small subunit ribosomal RNA", at positions 354 to 796 of the family's 1533-position model. The record is from RNAcentral.
GUGGGGAAUAUUGCACAAUGGGCGCAAGCCUGAUGCAGCAACGCCGCGUGAGGGACGACGGCCUUCGGGUUGUAAACCUCUUUUAGCAGGGAAGAAGCGAAAGUGACGGUACCUGCAGAAAAAGCACCGGCUAACUACGUGCCAGCAGCCGCGGUAAUACGUAGGGUGCAAGCGUUGUCCGGAAUUAUUGGGCGUAAAGAGCUCGUAGGCGGUUUGUCGCGUCUGCUGUGAAACCCCGAGGCUCAACCGCGGGCCUGCAGUGGGUACGGGCAGACUAGAGUGCGGUAGGGGAGAUUGGAAGUCCUGGUGUAGCGGUGGAAUGCGCAGAUAUCAGGAGGAACACCGAUGGCGAAGGCAGAUCUCUGGGCCGUAACUGACGCUGAGGAGCGAAAGCGUGGGGAGCGAACAGGAUUAGAAACCCGAGUAGUCC